Non-coding RNA from Chelonoidis abingdonii (Abingdon island giant tortoise), 153 nucleotides. NCBI's taxonomy places the organism in Eukaryota, Metazoa, Chordata, Testudines, Testudinidae. The record is from RefSeq and is a predicted model, not a curated record.
GAGCUGAUACCUUCUAAAGGUACAUCUACACUAAGGGAUUAUUCCGAUUUUACAUAAACUGGUUUUAGAAAACAGAUUGUAAAAAGUCAAGUGUCCGCGGACACACUAAGCACAUUAAUUCGGCGGUGUGCGUCCAUGGUCCGAGGCUAACGU